RNAcentral lists this ribosomal RNA (300 nucleotides) under uncultured Acidianus sp. RNAcentral describes it as "bacterial SSU rRNA". It matches the Rfam family "Bacterial small subunit ribosomal RNA", at positions 496 to 795 of the family's 1533-position model. Lineage: Archaea; Thermoproteati; Thermoproteota; Thermoprotei; Sulfolobales; Sulfolobaceae. The record is from RNAcentral.
GGUGACUUCUGGCAGUGGGCGUUGGUAGGAGGUGGGGGUCGGGCGUUUUCGGGAAGUAGUGGUCGUAAGGAGCUUGUGGGGGGUUGUGUGCGGCGGCUGUGAAAAUCCGGGUGUCAACCCCGGACUUGCAGUGGGGACGGGCAGACUAGAGUGGGGUAGGGGAGACUGGAAUUCCUGGUGUAGCGGUGAAAUGCGCAGAUAUCAGGAGGAACACCGAUGGCGAAGGCAGGUCGCUGGGCCACUACUGACGCUGAGAAGCGAAAGCGUGGGGAGCGAACAGGAUUAGAUACCCGAGUAGUC